Molecule: ribosomal RNA, 1158 nt
Filed under: Triticum aestivum (bread wheat)
Lineage: Eukaryota; Viridiplantae; Streptophyta; Magnoliopsida; Poales; Poaceae
Description: partial small subunit ribosomal RNA
Source: RNAcentral
AUGGAUUUUCCAAGAUUUGAUGGCUCAAACCCCCAUGAGUGGUUGAGGCUCACCGAAAAAUAUUUCUCCAUGGUGUUCAUACCUGAAAAUGCAAAGUUUGACUAUGCCCAAAUGUACGUCAUAGGAAAAGCUGACACCUGGCUCAGAAAUUCAGGUAUCCUGCAAUCCAAUCCCACCUGGGACUCCUUUUGCAAAGCCCUGUGCAAAAGGUUCUCAACCACCAGUUCAUAUGAGGCAGUAGCAAACUUCAACUCAAUCAGACAAGGCUCUAAGAAAAUGGCUUGUUAUAAAAAAGAAAAUCCUGACGUCAAUGAGCAAUACUAUGUCAAGUGUUACAUCAAUGGACUAAGGUAAGAAAUCAAGCAUUAUCUGAAGCCAUUCAAGCCAGCCACACUAUAUGAUGCAGUGGAGACUGCUAGAGAUAUGGAGUUGGGAGCUAAUGUAGCACAAGGGAAAAGAUAUCAAACCUCUGGGUUUUCCCAGAGAAGCACAACAAAUAAUACUUACCUGUCCAAGCCCAGAUUGCCAGAAAAUGUGCCUAACAAACUACCAGAUAAAACUGGGACUAGACCAGAGGCUAGAUAUAAAGAACCGGGACAGUGCAGAUAUUGUGGACAAAGAUGGUUCCUGGGACAUAAAUGUGCCCAAUAUAAAACAUUGAACUUACUGGCAGCGGAGGAAGAAGUACAAACUGACUGGGAAGAGCAAUUGCAGAACACAGACAACCCCAAUGACACUGAGCAACCAGCCACUUCUCCUACUGAGGAAGAACAACUUAUGCUCAUUUCCAUGCAAGCUAUCAAAGGAAAAAGCAUAGCGGCCACAUUCACCUUAUGGGUCAAUAUUGGUGGAAAAAGAGCCUUGGCCCUAGUAGACUCUGGGAGCACCAACACCUUUAUUGACAUGUCGUUCGCAACCAAAACAAACUGCACCAUAACAAAGAACAAUUUACAACCAGUACACAUAGCUGGAGGAGGAAAAUUGCAAACUGGAGCCCACAUACCUGCUGCUUGUUACAACAUCCAAAACCAUCAGUUCGCCAAUGAUUUCAAACUCCUCCCUCUCAAGGGAUAUGAUAUCAUCCUAGGAUGUGAUUGGUUGUUGGAGCACAGCUCGAUAUCUCUGGACUUCGGUGAAAGAUUAAUGACCAUCAACUAG